GACGAACGCUGGCGGCGUGCUUAACACAUGCAAGUCGAACGGAAAGGCCCCGCUUUUGUGGGGUGCUCGAGUGGCGAACGGGUGAGUAACACGUGAGUAACCUGCCCUUGACUUUGGGAUAACUUCAGGAAACUGGGGCUAAUACCGGAUAGGAGCUCCUGCUGCAUGGUGGGGGUUGGAAAGUUUCGGCGGUUGGGGAUGGACUCGCGGCUUAUCAGCUGGUUGGUGGGGUAGUGGCUUACCAAGGCUUUGACGGGUAGCCGGCCUGAGAGGGUGACCGGCCACAUUGGGACUGAGAUACGGCCCAGACUCCUACGGGAGGCAGCAGUGGGGAAUAUUGCACAAUGGGCGGAAGCCUGAUGCAGCAACGCCGCGUGCGGGAUGACGGCCUUCGGGUUGUAAACCGCUUUCGCCUGUGACGAAGCGUGAGUGACGGUAAUGGGUAAAGAAGCACCGGCUAACUACGUG
RNAcentral lists this ribosomal RNA (468 nucleotides) under uncultured bacterium. RNAcentral describes it as "partial 16S ribosomal RNA". It matches the Rfam family "Bacterial small subunit ribosomal RNA", at positions 28 to 507 of the family's 1533-position model. The record is from RNAcentral.